Molecule: long non-coding RNA, 1563 nt
Filed under: Acyrthosiphon pisum (pea aphid)
Lineage: Eukaryota; Metazoa; Arthropoda; Insecta; Hemiptera; Aphididae
Description: uncharacterized LOC100572573
Source: RNAcentral
CUUACAAAUGAUCACUAUAUAAUUACAUGGAUUGUGUUAAUUAUUUGAAAGCUAUACCACAUGCAGGAAUUGAGAUUAAACAUUUAUUAAACAAUUUAGUUUAUCAAAAAUAGUUUUUUUUAUAAAUUGCACAAUAUUUACUUUUUUUCAUCCAGAAUAUUAAGCUGAAACCAUAUAAGUAAGACAUAUUGUAUGCUAUAAAUGCGUUGAACUUUGUGUUCUCUAUAUUAUAAUAAAACGCACACCUAAUUGUUUUCAAACAAAACUAAACCGUUUUCGAAUGGUUAAUCCGCCCAAUAACUUUUAAAUUGAAGGUAUAAAAUAUUAUUUUUCUGAAGUACCUAAUACAUUUUAACAACUUAUCGAAUAAUAAAACUAUCUUAUAACGCUACAAGUGCCCGUUUUUUUUCUCUAAUCUAAUAGGCGAGGAAACGCAUAUAAUAAUAUGAUCUAAACUCUGUUUCAACAGAUGCGUACAACUAUAAACAUAGUAUUUCGUUUAUCGUUAUACUAUACAUAAUAUUAUAUUAUGCACGAAUUAUGUAACCAUAUAACAACUGAUACCAAGUGUAACAAAAAAGUAACAUAUUAAUUUCGAAUUGACCCCUAGCAACAACAAAAAACAUCUUCACGUCGAAAAUAAAUGUGUUUUUUAUUUCCAAUAUUUAUAGAUUUAUAUUUCUAAUAGGUAAUGAUAUUUUAUAAAUCCGUUUGCCACCGAUCACCACAACCACAUUUCCUGCUUGCAAUGUCUACCUAUAUGGCAUAUUGAGAAUUAUACUGUAAAAUCGAAACACCAUGGAUGUAAACAAGGCUAGGCAUGUUAACAAUUUUUUUUUUACUCGUUAAAUAAAAAAACGUGUAUUAUUGAAGCUGGCUGAAAACAAAAUAUAGACCAUCAUCACUAAAAGCAAUCUUGAUUAGUAACAAUAAACAGUCAUAAACAUUAAACAAACGGUAUAUUAGUUCCUGUCAACGAUUAUGAACAAUAACAGUUGUUAUAUACAAAUUGAAGAAGAGAUUAUUGCCAAACAACCCAAACAAAAAUAUGAAAAUACUACUAGCUUUCUUAUUUUUUUGGUGUAAUAUCAGGAUUUAGAUUGACAAAAACUUUACAACAGAAACGCAUUGAAGAAAUUCAUCAGUUGGAUAAAGACUUACAGGAUAUUAUUCGUAAAACAGGAGACGUGCUGACUAACAUGGAGAUCCAUGAGGUCAAUAAGUGGCUGUUGAUCCAAGACGCUUUUUUGUGGGGCUAUGAACGGAUUAAGGAAAAAAUUGCAAAUAACAAACCAAAUAAUGCAAAUAGCACGAAUAUUAUGGAAACAAACACAAGUGACACCAAUAUAAAUAAAGACACUAAUAUAAACUCGGGAAUGAGGAAACGCAAUAAAUAUAACUAUUGUACAUGAUCAUAAUCGUAGCAAGAAUGAAGGCAUAACUCAUAAUCAUAGCAGGAGUUAGAAAAAAUGUAGUAAAGACAAUUAAAACAAUAUAAUUUUGUUUUAAUUAUCUUCACUUCAUUUUAGUUAUAAGGAAAUAUAAAAAAUAAUGUAAAAAAUA